UUUACGGAGAAAGCUUUAUGCACCAUUGGAUGAGCCUGCACUUGAUUAGUUUGUUGGUAGGGUAAUGGCCUACCAAGACUGUGAUCAAUAGCUGAUUUGAGAGGAUGAUCAGCCACAUUGGGACUGAGACACGGCCCAAACUCCUACGGGAGGCAGCAGUGGGGAAUCUUGCACAAUGGAGGAAACUCUGAUGCAGCGAUGCCGCGUGAGUGAAGAAGGCCCUUGGGUUGUAAAGCUCUUUCGUCGGGGAAGAAAAUGACUGUACCCGAAUAAGAAGGUCCGGCUAACUUCGUGCCAGCAGCCGCGGUAAUACGAAGGGACCUAGCGUAGUUCGGAAUUACUGGGCUUAAAGAGUUCGUAGGUGGUUGAAAAAGUUGGUGGUGAAAUCCCAGAGCUUAACUCUGGAACUGCCAUCAAAACUUUUCAGCUAGAGUUUGAUAGAGGAAAGCAGAAUUUCUAGUGUAGAGGUGAAAUUCGUAGAUAUUAGAAAGAAUACCAAUUGCGAAGGCAGCUUUCUGGAUCAUUACUGACACUGAGGAACGAAAGCAUGGGUAGCGAAGAGGAUUAGAUACCCUCGUAGUCCAUGCCGUAAACGAUGUGUGUUAGACGUUGGAAAUUUAUUUUCAGUGUCGCAGCGAAAGCGAUAAACACACCGCCUGGGGAGUACGACCGCAAGGUUAAAACUCAAAUGAAUUGACGGGGACCCGCACAAGUAGUGGAGCAUGUGGUUUAAUUCGAAGAUACGCGCAGAACCUUACCAACACUUGACAUGUUCGUCGCGACUUUAAGAGAUUAAAGUUUUCGGUUCGGCCGGACGAAACACAGGUGCUGCAUGGCUGUCGUCAGCUCGUGUCGUGAGAUGUUGGGUUAAGUCCCGCAACGAGCGCAACCCUCACUUUUAGUUGCCAUCAUUAAGUUGGGCACUCUGAAAGAACUGCCAGUGAUAAGCUGGAGGAAGGUGGGGAUGACGUCAAGUCCUCAUGGCCCUUACGUGUUGGGCUACACACGUGCUACAAUGGUAUCUACAACAGGAAGCAAAACGGCGACGUUAAGCAAAUCCUUAAAAGAUACCUCAGUUCGGAUUGCACUCUGCAACUCGAGUGCAUGAAGCUGGAAUUACUAGUAAUCGUGGAUCAGCGUGCCACGGUGAAUGCG
Molecule: ribosomal RNA, 1155 nt
Filed under: marine metagenome
Description: bacterial SSU rRNA
Rfam family: Bacterial small subunit ribosomal RNA
Source: RNAcentral